RNAcentral lists this long non-coding RNA (615 nucleotides) under Triticum aestivum (bread wheat). RNAcentral's name for it is "long non-coding RNA (TAES_LNC015514)". Lineage: Eukaryota; Viridiplantae; Streptophyta; Magnoliopsida; Poales; Poaceae. The record is from RNAcentral.
ACCUUCAGAUCGCUGGGCUCGCGAUAACAGAUAGUCAGAUACAAUCAAUCAAUCUUGAUUUUCAUGUCUGUUGUUUUCUGCCCGCUGUCGUUCUCCGCUGUGGACUGUACGUCUGCAUCGUCGAGCGAACUGGACAGCUGGCCUGAAACUCGGAGCCGCGACGACGACGCCCGCAUGGCACUCCGGCGACGGCGAUCACCGAGGAGGCGCUGCCGUAACAAACGGUAUAUGUAGAUCCCACUCGCAACAAAGAAGAACAGAAUACAGGUAGAUGGAAUUGGCAACGCACCUAGGUACUGUACCCCUCGUCGAUGUCGAAUCUGGACAACCUCCUGCUUGGUAUCGUACUCAAUCGCGGAUCGCAUCCACGAUGCGCCGCCACUCCGAUUGUUCUUCUCUGCCAUCCACGCCCUCCUCCGCCGCCAGCACCUGAUCCGGGUCGCCGUACAAGUGUCAUCGACGGCCUCUUCCUCCCCCAAAUCUCUUGUCGCCGUUGCACGCCGCCACGAUCCGCUGGAUCAGUCUAAGUCCUUUUUUUAGGGUCGGUAUAAAUCCUUAAUUUAAGGAAAAAUUAAAUCUAAAUCAUGUGCCUUGUCUUUUGAGUGGAAAAAAAAU